GACGAACGCUGGCGGCGUGCUUAACACAUGCAAGUCGAACGAAGAGCGAUGGAAGCUUGCUUCUCUCAAUCUUAGUGGCGAACGGGUGAGUAACGCGUAAUCAACCUGCCCUUCAGAGGGGGACAACAGUUGGAAACGACUGCUAAUACCGCAUACGAUCUAAUCUCGGCAUCGAGGAUAGAUGAAAGGUGGCCUCUACAUGUAAGCUAUCACUGAAGGAGGGGAUUGCGUCUGAUUAGCUAGUUGGAGGGGUAACGGCCCACCAAGGCGAUGAUCAGUAGCCGGUCUGAGAGGAUGAACGGCCACAUUGGGACUGAGACACGGCCCAGACUCCUACGGGAGGCAGCAGUGGGGAAUCUUCCGCAAUGGACGAAAGUCUGACGGAGCAACGCCGAGUGAGUGAUGACGGCCUUCGGGUUGGAAAGCUCUGUUAAUCGGGACGAAAGGCCUUCUUGCGAAUAGUGAGAAGGAUUGACGGUACCGGAAUAGAAAGCCACGGCUAACUACGUG
This 510-nucleotide ribosomal RNA is filed under the name uncultured bacterium. Its description in RNAcentral is "partial 16S ribosomal RNA". It matches the Rfam family "Bacterial small subunit ribosomal RNA", at positions 28 to 507 of the family's 1533-position model. The record is from RNAcentral.